This 449-nucleotide ribosomal RNA is filed under the name uncultured bacterium. RNAcentral describes it as "partial 16S ribosomal RNA". It matches the Rfam family "Bacterial small subunit ribosomal RNA", at positions 329 to 794 of the family's 1533-position model. The record is from RNAcentral.
GCCCAGACUCCUACGGGAGGCAGCAGUGGGGAAUAUUGCACAAUGGGGGAAACCCUGAUGCAGCGACGCCGCGUGAGCGAUGAAGUAUUUCGGUAUGUAAAGCUCUAUCAGCAGGGAAGAAAAUGACGGUACCUGACUAAGAAGCCCCGGCUAACUACGUGCCAGCAGCCGCGGUAAUACGUAGGGGGCAAGCGUUAUCCGGAUUUACUGGGUGUAAAGGGAGCGUAGACGGCUGUGCAAGCCAGAUGUGAAAGCCCGGGGCUCAACCCCGGGACUGCAUUUGGAACUGUGUGGCUGGAGUGUCGGAGAGGCAGGCGGAAUUCCUAGUGUAGCGGUGAAAUGCGUAGAUAUUAGGAGGAACACCAGUGGCGAAGGCGGCCUGCUGGACGAUGACUGACGUUGAGGCUCGAAAGCGUGGGGAGCAAACAGGAUUAGAUACCCCUGUAAGG